Molecule: small nucleolar RNA, 138 nt
Organism: Tachyglossus aculeatus (Australian echidna)
Lineage: Eukaryota; Metazoa; Chordata; Mammalia; Monotremata; Tachyglossidae
Source: RefSeq, a predicted model, not a curated record
CCCCUCUCAGGGUCGCAUCUGUAGAGUUUCCAAUCCUCUUCCAGUCUCGACUACGGGAGAGAGAGUCGAGCAGAGGCCUGCCCAUUCCAUUCCUAGCUUGGCCAGUGGCUAGCAAGUGGAAGUCAAUCUGCUACAAGU